UACCUACGGGAGGCAGCAGUGGGGAAUUUUGCGCAAUGGGCGAAAGCCUGACGCAGCAACGCCGCGUGCGGGAUGAAGGCCUUCGGGUUGUAAACCGCUUUCAGCAGGGAUGAAACUGACAGUACCUGCAGAAGAAGCCCCGGCUAACUACGUGCCAGCAGCCGCGGUAAUACGUAGGGGGCGAGCGUUAUCCGGAUUCAUUGGGCGUAAAGAGCGCGUAGGCGGACUGUUAAGCGAGAUGUGAAAACCGGGGGCUCAACCCGCGGCCUGCAUCUCGAACUGGCAGUCUUGAGUCUGGUAGAGGAAAGUGGAAUUCCCAGUGUAGCGGUGAAAUGCGCAGAUAUUGGGAGGAACACCAGUGGCGAAGGCGGCUUUCUGGGCCACGACUGACGCUGAGGCGCGAAAGCUAGGGGAGCGAACAGGAUUAGAUACCCUAGUAGUC
RNAcentral lists this ribosomal RNA (442 nucleotides) under uncultured bacterium. RNAcentral's name for it is "bacterial SSU rRNA". It matches the Rfam family "Bacterial small subunit ribosomal RNA", at positions 335 to 795 of the family's 1533-position model. The record is from RNAcentral.